RNAcentral lists this unclassified non-coding RNA (263 nucleotides) under Hevea brasiliensis (rubber tree). The record is from RNAcentral. Lineage: Eukaryota; Viridiplantae; Streptophyta; Magnoliopsida; Malpighiales; Euphorbiaceae.
UGAGCUCACUUGCUGUUGCUUUCGCUCUCUUCCUCUGCUUUGGGUUCCACUCUCCAGAUCUGAACCUAAAACUCGCAAGGUUUUAAAUUUCCUUUUUCUAGAACAUGGGUCGUGGAGUUAGCAGUGGUGGAGGUCAAAGCUCAUUGGGCUAUCUGUUUGGGAGUGGAGAGGCUCCAAAGCCUUCCAUAGACAAUGCCCAACAUGCUUCAAAUGAUGGCCAAGCAGUGAAUAAGUUGCCUCCCUCCAAACCUGCUGUUGCUCCU